RNAcentral lists this ribosomal RNA (402 nucleotides) under uncultured Acidobacteriota bacterium. RNAcentral describes it as "bacterial SSU rRNA". It matches the Rfam family "Bacterial small subunit ribosomal RNA", at positions 379 to 798 of the family's 1533-position model. The record is from RNAcentral. Lineage: Bacteria; Pseudomonadati; Acidobacteriota.
CACCCUGAUGCAGCGACGCCGCGUGAGCGAUGAAGCCCUUCGGGGUGUAAAGCUCUUUCGACCGGGAAGAUAAUGACGGUACCUGGGGAAGAAGCUGCGGCUAACUCCGUGCCAGCAGCCGCGGUAAUACAUAGGGGGCGAGCGUUGUUCGGAAUUACUGGGCGUAAAGGGUGCGUAGGCGGUGCUGUAAGUCUGGUGUGAAAUCUCUGGGCUUAACUCGGAGGCUGCAGCCGAAACUGCCGUGCUGGAGGGUGGGAGAGGUGCGUGGAAUUCCUGGUGUAGCGGUGAAAUGCGUAGAUAUCGGGAGGAACACCUGUGGCGAAAACGGCUUUCUGGACCACUACUGACGCUGAUGCGCGAAAGCGUGGGGAGCAAACAGGAUUAAAUACCCUGGUAGUCAAA